RNAcentral lists this long non-coding RNA (203 nucleotides) under Medicago truncatula (barrel medic). RNAcentral's name for it is "long non-coding RNA (MTRU_LNC006868)". The record is from RNAcentral. Lineage: Eukaryota; Viridiplantae; Streptophyta; Magnoliopsida; Fabales; Fabaceae.
UGCAAUCUUUCUAAAGCAAGAAGCGAGAAAGUUUACUUUGAGAAAGAAGGUGCUUGUUGCCGAUUUCUUCUUUUUUAAUAAUAAGUAAACUUGUUUUGUUUUAGUUUUAUAAGGCGAAAGGUUACUAUUUUUAUAAUUAUUAUAGUGUUAGCGCUUUAGUUUUCAAUAAGUUUAGGCUUGACUAAGAACAUAGAAAUGUUGAA